CGAAAGCCAGACGCAGCGACGCCGCGUGGGCAAAGAAGGCCUUCGGGUUGUAAAGCCCUUUUCCAGGGGAAGAGGAAGGACGGUACCCUGGGAAUAAGUCCCGGCUAACUAUGUGCCAGCAGCCGCGGUAAGACAUAGGGGACGAGCGUUAUCCGGAUUUACUGGGCGUAAAGAGCGUUGAGGCGGUUCCGUAAGUUGGAUGUGAAAGCCCCGGGCUUAACUCGGGGAGGUCGUUCAAUACUGCGGGGCUAGAGGGCAGCAGAGGGAGGUGGAAUUCCCGGUGUAGUGGUGAAAUGCGUAGAUAUCGGGAGGAACACCCGUGGCGAAGGCGGCCUCCUGGGCUGACCCUGACGCUGAAUGCGAAAGCUAGGGGAGCG
This 377-nucleotide ribosomal RNA is filed under the name uncultured bacterium. Its description in RNAcentral is "bacterial SSU rRNA". It matches the Rfam family "Bacterial small subunit ribosomal RNA", at positions 376 to 770 of the family's 1533-position model. The record is from RNAcentral.